RNAcentral lists this ribosomal RNA (253 nucleotides) under uncultured bacterium. RNAcentral's name for it is "partial 16S ribosomal RNA". It matches the Rfam family "Bacterial small subunit ribosomal RNA", at positions 524 to 776 of the family's 1533-position model. The record is from RNAcentral.
UACAGAGGGUGCAAGCGUUGUUCGGAAUUAUUGGGCGUAAAGCGCGUGUAGGCGGCUUUGCAAGUCGGGUGUGAAAGCCCUCAGCUCAACUGAGGAAGUGCGCCCGAAACUGGAUAGCUAGAGUACGAAAGAGGGUCGCGGAAUUCCCGGUGUAGAGGUGAAAUUCGUAGAUAUCGGGAGGAACACCGGUGGCGAAGGCGGCGACCUGGGUCGAGACUGACGCUGAGGCGCGAAAGCGUGGGGAGCAAACAGG